CAGAUUGAACGCUGGCGGCGUGCUUACACAUGCAAGUCGAUCGGUAACAGGUGUAGCAAUACAUGCUGACGAGAGGCGGACGGGUGAGGAACGCUUGGGAAUCUGCCUGUCAGCGGGGGACAACCCGGGGAAACUCGGGCUAAUACCGCAUACGCUCUACGGAGGAAAGCCGGGGACCGCAAGGCCUGGCACUGAUAGAUGAGCCCAAGUCGGAUUAGCUAGUUGGCGGGGUAACGGCCCACCAAGGCUACGAUCCGUAGCUGGUCUGAGAGGACGAUCAGCCACACCGGAACUGAGACACGGUCCGGACUCCUACGGGAGGCAGCAGUGGGGAAUAUUGGACAAUGGGGGAAACCCUGAUCCAGCGACGCCGCGUGGGUGAAGAAGGCCUGCGGGUUGUAAAGCCCUUUCGGUAGGGACGAAAACUCUUGCCUUAACAAGGCAGGAGCUUGACUUAACCUACAUAAGAAGCACCGGCUAACUCUGUGCCAGCAGCCGCGGUAAUACAGAGGGUGCGAGCGUUAAUCGGAAUUACUGGGCGUAAAGCGCACGUAGGCGGCUUUGUAAGUCGGAUGUGAAAUCCCCGGGCUCAACCUGGGAACUGCACCCGAAACUACAUUGCUAGAGUAUGGGAGAGGGAGGCGGAAUUUCCGGUGUAGCAGUGAAAUGCGUAGAUAUCGGAAGGAACAUCAGUGGCGAAGGCGGCCUCCUGGACCAAUACUGACGCUCAGGUGCGAAAGCGUGGGGAGCAAACAGGAUUAGAUACCCUGGUAGUCCACGCCCUAAACGAUGAGAACUGGAUGUCGGGAGGGUUUGCCUUCCGGUGUCGUAGCUAACGCGAUAAGUUCUCCGCCUGGGAAGUACGGCCGCAGGUUGAAACU
RNAcentral lists this ribosomal RNA (881 nucleotides) under uncultured bacterium. RNAcentral describes it as "bacterial SSU rRNA". It matches the Rfam family "Bacterial small subunit ribosomal RNA", at positions 25 to 901 of the family's 1533-position model. The record is from RNAcentral.